Molecule: unclassified non-coding RNA, 331 nt
Filed under: soil metagenome
Description: partial contains 5.8S ribosomal RNA, internal transcribed spacer 2, and large subunit ribosomal RNA
Rfam family: 5.8S ribosomal RNA (bases 1-120)
Source: RNAcentral
GAUGAAGAACGUAGCGAAAUGCGAUAAGUAAUGUGAAUUGCAGAAUUCAGUGAAUCAUCGAAUCUUUGAACGCACAUUGCGCCCCCUGGUAUUCCGGGGGGCAUGCCUGUUCGAGCGUCAUUUCACCACUCAAGCCUCGCUUGGUAUUGGGCAACGCGGUCCGCCGCGUGCCUCAAAUCGUCCGGCUGGGUCUUCUAUCCCCUAAGCGUUGUGGAAACUAUUCGCUAAAGGGUGUUCGGGAGGCUACGCCGUAAAACAACCCCAUUUCUAAGGUUGACCUCGGAUCAGGUAGGGAUACCCGCUGAACUUAAGCAUAUCAAUAAGCGGAGGA